This 253-nucleotide ribosomal RNA is filed under the name uncultured bacterium. RNAcentral's name for it is "partial 16S ribosomal RNA". It matches the Rfam family "Bacterial small subunit ribosomal RNA", at positions 524 to 776 of the family's 1533-position model. The record is from RNAcentral.
GACGUAGGGUGCGAGCGUUGUCCGGAUUUAUUGGGCGUAAAGAGCUCGUAGGCGGCUCGUCGCGUCAGCUGUGAAAACCCGGAGCUCAACUCCGGGCCUGCAGUCGAUACGGGCAGACUGGAGUUCGGCAGGGGAGACUGGAAUUCCUGGUGUAGCGGUGAAAUGCGCAGAUAUCAGGAGGAACACCGGUGGCGAAGGCGGGUCUCUGGGCCGAUACUGACGCUGAGGAGCGAAAGCGUGGGGAGCGAACAGG